GCGGCUGUAGUAUAGAGGUAAUAUAACUGGCUUCCACCCAGUAGUCGUGGGUUCGAUUCCCGCUAGCCGCU
RNAcentral lists this transfer RNA (71 nucleotides) under Bacteroidota bacterium. RNAcentral's name for it is "Bacteroidetes bacterium (freshwater metagenome) tRNA-Gly". It matches the Rfam family "tRNA". From Rfam's summary of the family: Transfer RNA (tRNA) molecules are approximately 80 nucleotides in length. Their secondary structure includes four short double-helical elements and three loops (D, anti-codon, and T loops). Lineage: Bacteria; Pseudomonadati; Bacteroidota. The record is from RNAcentral.